CCUACGGGAGGCUGCAGUAGGGAAUUUUCGGCAAUGGGCGAAAGCCUGACCGAGCAACGCCGCGUGAACGAAGAAGGUCUUCGGAUUGUAAAGUUCUGUUAUAGAGGAAGAACGGUGUACGUAGGAAAUGGCGUACAAAUGACGGUACUCUGUGAGGAAGCCACGGCUAACUACGUGCCAGCAGCCGCGGUAAUACGGAGGGUGCAAGCGUUGUCCGGAAUCAUUGGGCGUAAAGAGUUCGUAGGCGGCAUGUAAAGUCAGGUGGUAAAGGCGCAGGCUCAACCUGUGUAUGGCACUUGAUACUUGCAAGCUGGAAUGCGGUAGAGGUAAAGGGAAGUCCUGGUGUAGCGGUGAAAUGCUUAGAUAUCAGGAGGAACAUCGGUGGCGUAAGCGCUUUACUGGGCCGUAAUUGACGCUGAGGAACGAAAGCCAGGGUAGCAAAUGGGAUUAGAUACCCCUGUAGUC
Molecule: ribosomal RNA, 465 nt
Filed under: uncultured bacterium
Lineage: Bacteria
Description: partial 16S ribosomal RNA
Rfam family: Bacterial small subunit ribosomal RNA
Source: RNAcentral